CCUACGGGCGGCUGCAGUGAGGAAUAUUGCUCAAUGGGCGAGAGCCUGAACCAGCCAAGUAGCGUGAAGGAUGAAUGCCCUCCGGGCUGUAAACUUCUUUUUUAAAGGAAUACAUUCAGGCAAGUGAGCAUUUUUGUCUGUACUUUAUGUAUAAGGAACGCCUAAAUUCGCUCCAGCCGACGCGGUAAUACGGAGGAUCCGUGCGUUACCCGGAUUUGUUGGGUUUAAGGGGAGCGUAGCUGGGUGUUUAAGUUAGUUGUGAAAGUGUGCGGCUCAACCGUAAAAUUGCAAUUGAUACUGGCAGACUUGAGUACAGAUGAGGUAGGCGGAAUUCGUGGUGUAGCGGUGAAAUGCGUAGAGAUAACGAGGAACUCCGAUUGCGAAGGCAGCUUACUAAACUGCCACUGACAUUGAUGCGCGAAAGUGUGGGUAUCAAACAGGAUUAGAUACCCCUGUAGUC
RNAcentral lists this ribosomal RNA (460 nucleotides) under uncultured bacterium. RNAcentral describes it as "partial 16S ribosomal RNA". It matches the Rfam family "Bacterial small subunit ribosomal RNA", at positions 338 to 795 of the family's 1533-position model. The record is from RNAcentral.